ACGCUCGACACCUACAGGAGGCAGCAGUGGGGAAUAUUGCACAAUGGGGGAAACCCUGAUGCAGCGACGCCGCGUGAAGGAAGAAGUAUUUCGGUAUGUAAACUUCUAUCAGCAGGGAAGAAAAUGACGGUACCUGAGUAAGAAGCACCGGCUAAAUACGUACCAGCAGCCGCGGUAAUCUGAGCGGGCUGGCAAGGC
RNAcentral lists this ribosomal RNA (198 nucleotides) under uncultured bacterium. Its description in RNAcentral is "partial 16S ribosomal RNA". It matches the Rfam family "Bacterial small subunit ribosomal RNA", at positions 328 to 539 of the family's 1533-position model. The record is from RNAcentral.